Molecule: ribosomal RNA, 489 nt
Filed under: uncultured bacterium
Lineage: Bacteria
Description: bacterial SSU rRNA
Rfam family: Bacterial small subunit ribosomal RNA
Source: RNAcentral
UGGGGAAUAUUGCACAAUGGGGGAAACCCUGAUGCAGCGACGCCGCGUGAGUGAAGAAGUAAUUCGUUACGUAAAGCUCUAUCAGCAGGGAAGAAAUACUGACCUUACGGUCAGCAGACGGUACCUGAGUAAGAAGCCCCGGCUAACUACGUGCCAGCAGCCGCGGUAAUACGUAGGGGGCAAGCGUUAUCCGGAUUUACUGGGUGUAAAGGGAGCGUAGACGGUGCGCCAAGUCUGGAGUGAAAUGCCGCAGCUUAACUGCGGAACUGCUUUGGAAACUGGCGAACUAGAGUGCGGGAGGGGUAAGCGGAAUUCCUAGUGUAGCGGUGAAAUGCGUAGAUAUUAGGAGGAACACCGGUGGCGAAGGCGGCUUACUGGACCGUAACUGACGUUGAGGCUCGAAAGCGUGGGGAGCAAACAGGAUUAGAUACCCUGGUAGUCCACGCCGUAAACGAUGAUUACUAGGUGUCGGGGACCCAAGGGUCUCCG